Diorhabda sublineata is the source of this 549-nucleotide long non-coding RNA. RefSeq lists it as uncharacterized. The record is from RefSeq and is a predicted model, not a curated record. The transcript is spliced from 3 exons. Lineage: Eukaryota; Metazoa; Arthropoda; Insecta; Coleoptera; Chrysomelidae.
AAAUGUAGUUUAGAAUCAUAACACACCUAACUAGUUCAAUGCAAAUUAUAAAUUUAGAAAUUGGAAAAAAUCCAAAACGAUUCGAAACUGUUAAUACACGUUAUUGUUUGCGAAAACUUCACACUUGCUGGUUUGAAUAUAUAAUAUAUCCGAGACUAUACGAAAUAAUGUUACAAAUUAAAUAUUAUCCUGGCGAAGGAUACAAUUAUUUAUUCAUGCCAGACUAUAGAUUUUAUUGUGAUGAAAAAAUUCAACGACACCAAAGUUCUUAUUACAAUUGGCCUUUCCGUACUCGGAUUUGGUAUCCGUAUAAAAAUUUGAGGUUAUAUUUCGAUUAUAUGCCCUCAAGGAGACCUUUUAGAGAACAAAGAAUACGCCGUCUCAUUUAUUGACACUAUGAUGAUUAUUUUCAAAAAAACAAACAACAAUAAUUUCAUAAGAUGACAAUCUUAAGAACAAAUUCUAUUUGAAUAUCUUCCUUACAAGUGUUUAUUAUAAUUAUUCGUAUUAAUAAAAAAAAUUAUCCGAUUUUUUUUCGUUAUUUUCUUA